This 71-nucleotide transfer RNA is filed under the name Candidatus Pacearchaeota archaeon. RNAcentral describes it as "tRNA-His". It matches the Rfam family "tRNA". From Rfam's summary of the family: Transfer RNA (tRNA) molecules are approximately 80 nucleotides in length. Lineage: Archaea; Nanobdellati. The record is from RNAcentral.
GCGGUUGUAGUUCAGUGGUAGAAUGUGGGAUUGUGGAUCCCAAGACGCGAGUUCGAUUCUCGCCUCCCGCU